GUAAAACACAAGAUCAACUGAAAGUCAACUAGAAUUUAUCUAAAAUAAACUAAAUCAUGCCAAUUUAUGGAUCAUAUUUUAUUUUAUUAUUUAUAUACAAAUUUUACAACAUACUGGGUAAAUGGAUCUAGAGGGGUGCCCCACUGCCAUUAAAUUGGAUAAAAAGACAAUCAAAUGAAUGCUAUAUCCCCAUUUUGCAUCCUUUCAUAUGCAAAAAUAUAUAAAUAUUAAUUCAAAAAGGGUUUCCAAAGUUUGUUGUUUUUAAAGAGUCAUGGUAUUUAUCUACAUGAAGACUUCAUUUGGUAAAUUUCUUUGUUUUAAUCAAUUAUUU
RNAcentral lists this long non-coding RNA (331 nucleotides) under Mytilus galloprovincialis (Mediterranean mussel). The record is from RNAcentral. Lineage: Eukaryota; Metazoa; Mollusca; Bivalvia; Mytilida; Mytilidae.